This 777-nucleotide ribosomal RNA is filed under the name uncultured Neocallimastigales. Its description in RNAcentral is "partial large subunit ribosomal RNA". It matches the Rfam family "Eukaryotic large subunit ribosomal RNA", at positions 24 to 639 of the family's 3401-position model. Lineage: Eukaryota; Fungi; Neocallimastigomycota; Neocallimastigomycetes; Neocallimastigales. The record is from RNAcentral.
UACGACUACAUAUCAGGCAUAUCAAUAAGCGGAGGAAAAGAAACUAACUAGGAUUCCCUCAGUAACGGCGAGUGGAGCGGGAAGAGCUCAAAUUUGAAAUCUUCAAGGUUUUACCUUGACGAAUUGUAGUUUAAAGAAGUGUUUUCUGUUGGAAUUUUGGUAAAAGUUCUUUGGAAAAAGACAUCCAAAGAGGGUGAGAAUCCCGUAUUUGACCAUUAUUUCCAGCUUUGUGAUACACUUUCAAAGAGUCGGAUUGUUUGGGAAUGCAGUCCAAAAUGGGUGGUAAAUUUCAUCUAAAGCUAAAUAUUGGCGAGAGACCGAUAGCGAACAAGUACCGUGAGGGAAAGAUGAAAAGAACUUUGAAAAGAGAGUUAAACAGUACGUGAAAUUGUCAAAAGGGAAGCGUUUGACACCAGUGUUGUUUUCUCGAAAAUCAAUUAAAAAUAAAUUUGAUUUUGUGUUGUAUUGACCUUAAAAGCUUUCUUCACUUUUUUCAUGUUUAUUUUUAAUGCACUUUUCGUUUAACAAGUCAACAUCAGUUUCUUUUGUUGUAAAAAGGUCAUUGGAAGGUGGCUUUCACUUCGGUGAAAGUGUUUAUAGCCUUUGGCUUCUGCAAUCGGAGAGAUUGAGGUCUGCAGCGUAGAUCCUUCGGGGUUAGAUACGUAGAUGCUAAGUUAUAGUUUUUCAUAGACAACUUGUUGACUAUGAUUAAUCAUGUAGCUUACUCGUUUGCGCUAUUUUACCUACGCUUAGGAUGUUGACGCGCGUGUGUGCGUG